UACGGAGGGUGCGAGCGUUGUUCGGAUUCAUUGGGCGUAAGGGUGCGUAGGUGGCGCUGUAAGUCGGGUGUGAAAUUUCGGAGCUUAACUCCGAACUGCAUUCGAUACUGCGGUGCUUGAGGACUGGAGAGGAGACUGGAAUUCAUGGUGUAGCAGUGAAAUGCGUAGAGAUCAUGAGGAAGACCAGUGGCGAAGGCGGGUCUCUGGACAGUCCUGACACUGAGGCACGAAGGCCAGGGAGCAAACGGG
Molecule: ribosomal RNA, 249 nt
Filed under: uncultured bacterium
Lineage: Bacteria
Description: partial 16S ribosomal RNA
Rfam family: Bacterial small subunit ribosomal RNA
Source: RNAcentral